This 872-nucleotide ribosomal RNA is filed under the name uncultured bacterium. RNAcentral describes it as "bacterial SSU rRNA". It matches the Rfam family "Bacterial small subunit ribosomal RNA", at positions 36 to 871 of the family's 1533-position model. The record is from RNAcentral.
CUGGCGGCGUGCCUAAUACAUGCAAGUCGAGCGCGGGAAGCAGGUAAUCGCCCUUCGGGGCGUGCGCCUGUGGAACGAGCGGCGGACGGGUGAGUAACACGUGGGCAACCUGCCUGUAAGACUGGGAUAACUCCGGGAAACCGGGGCUAAUACCGGAUGAUGUCUUUCCUCGCAUGAGGGAAGGCUGAAAGACGGCCUUUGUGCUGUCACUUACAGAUGGGCCCGCGGCGCAUUAGUUAGUUGGUGAGGUAAGAGCUCACCAAGGCGACGAUGCGUAGCCGACCUGAGAGGGUGAUCGGCCACACUGGGACUGAGACACGGCCCAGACUCCUACGGGAGGCAGCAGUAGGGAAUCUUCCGCAAUGGACGAAAGUCUGACGGAGCAACGCCGCGUGAGUGAUGAAGGUCUUCGGAUCGUAAAACUCUGUUGUCAGGGAAGAACAAGCGUGGUUCGAACAGGGCCAUGCCUUGACGGUACCUGACCAGAAAGCCCCGGCUAACUACGUGCCAGCAGCCGCGGUAAUACGUAGGGGGCAAGCGUUGUCCGGAAUUAUUGGGCGUAAAGCGCGCGCAGGCGGUUUCUUAAGUCUGAUGUGAAAUCUCGCGGCUUAACCGCGAGCGGUCAUUGGAAACUGGGAGGCUUGAGUACAGAAGAGGAGAGUGGAAUUCCACGUGUAGCGGUGAAAUGCGUAGAGAUGUGGAGGAACACCAGUGGCGAAGGCGACUCUCUGGUCUGUAACUGACGCUGAGGCGCGAAAGCGUGGGUAGCGAACAGGAUUAGAUACCCUGGUAGUCCACGCCGUAAACGUUGAGUGCUAGGUGUUAGGGGGUUUCCGCCCCUUUGUGCUGAAGUUAACGCAUUAAGCACUCCG